CCUAAAUAAAGCAUUUAUUAGUCCCAGUAUAGGCGAUAGAAAAGACACCAUUGGAGCGAUAGAGAUUACGUACCGUAAGGGAAAGAUGAAAUAGCAGUGAAAAAAUAAGCUAAAAAUAGCAAAGAUCAACCCUUGUACCUUUUGCAUCAUGGUCUAGCAAGAAAAACCAAGCAAAAUGAAUUUAAGUUUGCCACCCCGAAACCCAAGCGAGCUACUCACGAGCAGCUAUUAUUGAGCGAACCCGUCUCUGUUGCAAAAGAGUGGGAUGACUUGUUAGUAGAGGUGAAAAGCCAACCGAGCUGGGUGAUAGCUGGUUGCCUGUGAAACGAAUCUAAGUUCACUCUUAAUUCUUCUCCAAGGAACACCAAAACCCUAAUGAAGCGAAUUAAGGGCUACUUAAAGGAGGUACAGCUCCUUUAAAAAAGAAUACAAUCUCUACGAGCGGAUAAAUAAUCAAAAUACAAAAUUACUGUGGGCCCUCAAGCAGCCAUCAACAAAGAGUGCGUUAAAGCUCUGUGCUCUAAAAAUAUAAGAACCAUAUGACUCCCUCCCCACUAACAGGCUAACCUAUAACAAUAGGAGAAUUAAUGCUAGAAUGAGUAACCAGGGUUCUCCCUCUUCGACGCAAGCUUACAUCCGUACAUUAUUAACAAGCCACCAUAUACGA
This 667-nucleotide ribosomal RNA is filed under the name Phylloscopus chloronotus (pale-rumped warbler). RNAcentral describes it as "Abrornis chloronotus (pale-rumped warbler) partial 16S ribosomal RNA". It matches the Rfam family "Bacterial large subunit ribosomal RNA", at positions 215 to 1346 of the family's 2925-position model. The record is from RNAcentral. Lineage: Eukaryota; Metazoa; Chordata; Aves; Passeriformes; Phylloscopidae.